This 502-nucleotide ribosomal RNA is filed under the name uncultured bacterium. RNAcentral describes it as "bacterial SSU rRNA". It matches the Rfam family "Bacterial small subunit ribosomal RNA", at positions 31 to 507 of the family's 1533-position model. The record is from RNAcentral.
GAACGCUGGCGGCGUGCCUAACACAUGCAAGUCGUGCGAGAAAAGGGUGGCAACACUCUGAGUAAAGCGGCGAACGGGUGAGUAACACGUAGGUAACCUGUCCCCGAGCCUGGGAUAACCUGUCGAAAGGCGGGCUAAUACUGGAUACGAUCGCAGGAGCGUCAGCUCCAGCGAUGAAAGGUGGCCUCUGCUUGCAAGCUACCACUCGGGGAUGGGCCUGCGGGCCAUUAGCUAGUUGGUGAGGUAAUGGCUCACCAAGGCGAAGAUGGCUAGCUGGUCUGAGAGGAUGGCCAGCCACACUGGGACUGAAACACGGCCCAGACUCCUACGGGAGGCAGCAGUGAGGAAUAUUGCGCAAUGGGCGAAAGCCUGACGCAGCGACGCCGCGUGGGUGAUGAAGGUCUUCGGGUCGUAAAGCCCUGUCAGGGGGGACGAAACCGCCCCGGCCAAAUACGUCGGGGACCUGACGGUACCCCAAAAGGAAGCACCGGCUAACUCCGUG